GAUCAACGCUGGCGGCGUGCCUUACGCAUGCAAGUCGCACGGCUCUUCUGCAAGGGAGGGUAGUGGCGGACGGGUGAGGAACACGUACCUAACCUGCCGAUGAGCGGGGGAUACCCCGGGAAACCCAGGACAAUACCGCAUGUGGUCUUGUGGUUGCGGCCACAAGAGUAAACCCGUGAGGGGUUCAUCGGAGGGGGGUGCGGCCGAUUAGCUGGUUGGUGGGGUAACGGCCUACCAAGGCGACGAUCGGUAGCUGGUCUGAGAGGACGGCCA
RNAcentral lists this ribosomal RNA (273 nucleotides) under uncultured bacterium. Its description in RNAcentral is "partial 16S ribosomal RNA". It matches the Rfam family "Bacterial small subunit ribosomal RNA", at positions 28 to 306 of the family's 1533-position model. The record is from RNAcentral.